UUGUCUCCUUUAGGGAGACAAGAUUCGUUAAUGAGAGAAUAGAUAGAAGUUUCCUGAAAUCUAACAGUUGAUUAUAGUGAACCACAAACGAAAGAACCCCAAAUUACUGUUUUAAAGAACUAGAAGGCCAGGGUGGGCUUAGGGAAAGGAGAGAUUCAUUGCACAGUUGGGAAGCAAACUAGCUCAGAGAAAGGCCUGCAUUUAGGCUGGGGGGAAAAGAGCAUGAUUUAUUGCUUGCUUCUGCUAUGGGGUUUGUUUAUGGCAUGGGUAUAUACUACCACAGGGAAAGACAGGAUUGCAAAAGUUGAAAACUGAAUUCACACAGUAGAGCGAAAAGAUAAAGAUAAGAAGAAACAUUUUUACGUGUGCUUUCCCUCUGGCCAAAGUAAAUUCAUUCUUAGCUGUGAUUUUAUAAAAUGUUUAGAAGAUAGAUAAUUUCAGUGGCAACUUUUUGUGCUUUCAGGUCCACGAUGAAGGUGACUUUUUGUGUCCAUAGACCUAGGUAUUGGAGCAGAAGUGUGCUAUAGCACAUAUCUGACUUAUAAAUGUAGUGAUGUGACUGCAAGUUUGUUUGUUAGGCUUCCUAGACAUGAGAAAGUAUAUAGAAAGAGAAACUGGUAACGGCUCUCUGAAGCCCGAUGUGUGCACAUUUCUUAUUUCAUUUAUCUUGAUCUAACCUACUCUCCCCCUUGAUAUCCUGUUUGAAAAAUAACAAUCUGGUAUGGCAUUGGUACAUUUAAUUUUGCUUCAGACUGGUGGAUACAAUGUUUUCCUGUGUGCUGUCACCAACUUUUACUGGUUAUAGUUAGUUCAUUCCAGACCAACAUUUCAAAACUUUUUGAAGAUUAUUUUCUUUCAAACUUAUAAUUGCUUAAAAUGAAAGGGAGGCUGCCCUCUUUUUUAAAUUUUGGAAAAGAAAAUGAUCCCAACUUAAUAAUAGAAAUGCCAAAUGAUAAUAAUACAGGUUGAGUAUUUUACUUUAAUUGACAUAAUUGAAAGUUAGCACGAUUGUUAACACAUAAACAGAGGAGUGAUAUAAGAUGCAGCAGUGAGGGAGUUUUUCCAUCUAGUUGCAAAAUUGGAAAUCAAGUAAAUCUGAAACUGUUCAACGCGAGUACUCUUCCAGUGGUCUGUAUGACUGGAAUCAUAGGAAGGGCAGAGAGGAAGAAAAAAAAAAUCUGUCUUGAAGUGUAUUUAUUAAAAUAUGUAUGCAAGUUGGCACAUAUUUUAUCCCAAUAGAUGGGUAAAUCAAAUAUAUUAGAAUUCUAUAUAAAAAUAUGAUUUUUUACGACGUGUACUUUCUACUCUCUCACUGAAAAAUUUGCAUGCAUUGAAAUAACUUCAAUACGCUCAUUUUGUGAACAGCUAAUGUAGUUGGUUGCUUUUAGAUAAAGCCUGCUGGAAAAUUAGGUUAACAAAGGGUAAAGGUGAAGAGCUUGGAGGUUUCAGUGCUGGUUGAGACCGGGCUGCUGAGGUUGUGUAGCCGUGCCUAGAGGGCGGGGUUCCUGUACAUUCCUACUUCAGCAGAUAACCGGCCCCCAGCACCACUCCAGUUUCUGCCAGACUGAUGGAAGUCUCCAAACGAGAAUCUGCGCAGUCCUUCCAAGAAGCAGGGUUCUGCUUGAUGUUGUCGGGAAGCUGCCAAGGCAAAAGACUGGAGAACUGUGAACAUUCUCGCCCCGGGGAUCGAGCUUGGAACAGGAAGGCUGGCACAUCAGAGGGUGUCGAACUGCCAGGGUGCUGACACCAAGCAGAAAUUUUCAAGUUUAAAGCAACACUCCCUGGACUCAUGACAUGUCCCUGGAGAGAGCUACUUCAUCAUUCUUCAGACAAAAAAAAAUUGAUUCCCUUCAGUAUCCUCCAGUUUUAUUACGACUAGAUAGAACUUUAUGUUCAUUCAGAUCGCUUCCAUGCCUGAAUUCUUGGUCAUCUUCCUGUCUUCUA
Molecule: long non-coding RNA, 1944 nt
Organism: Chionomys nivalis (European snow vole)
Lineage: Eukaryota; Metazoa; Chordata; Mammalia; Rodentia; Cricetidae
Exons: 3
Source: RefSeq, a predicted model, not a curated record